AGUGGCGGACGGGUGAGUAACGCGUGAGAAUCUACCUUCAGGACGGGGACAACAGCUGGAAACGGCUGCUAAUACCCGAUAUGCCGAAAGGUGAAAAGUUAUUUCGCCUGGAGAGGAACUCGCGUCCGAUUAGCUAGUUGGUGGGGUAAAAGCUUACCAAGGCAACGAUCGGUAGCUGGUCUGAGAGGAUGAGCAGCCACACUGGAACUGAGACACGGUCCAGACUCCUACGGGAGGCAGCAGUGGGGAAUUUUCCGCAAUGGGCGAAAGCCUGACGGAGCAACGCCGCGUGGGGGAAGAAGGUUUUUGGAUUGUAAACCCCUUUUCUCAAGGAAGAACAAAAUGACGGUACUUGAGGAAUCAGCCUCGGCUAACUCCGUGCCAGCAGCCGCGGUAAUACGGAGGAGGCAAGCGUUAUCCGGAAUUAUUGGGCGUAAAGCGUUCGUAGGCGGCUGUUCAAGUCUGCUGUCAAAGACCGAGGCUCAACCUCGGGUCGGCAGUGGAAACUGGAUAGCUAGAGGUCGGUAGGGGCAGAGGGAAUUCCCAGUGUAGCGGUGAAAUGCGUAGAUAUUGGGAAGAACACCGGUGGCGAAAGCGCUCUGCUGGGCCGAACCUGACGCUGAGGGACGAAAGCUAGGGGAGCGAAUGGGAUUAGAUACCCC
RNAcentral lists this ribosomal RNA (662 nucleotides) under uncultured bacterium. RNAcentral's name for it is "bacterial SSU rRNA". It matches the Rfam family "Bacterial small subunit ribosomal RNA", at positions 94 to 788 of the family's 1533-position model. The record is from RNAcentral.